This is a non-coding RNA of Chiloscyllium plagiosum (whitespotted bambooshark), 1661 nucleotides long. NCBI's taxonomy places the organism in Eukaryota, Metazoa, Chordata, Chondrichthyes, Orectolobiformes, Hemiscylliidae. The record is from RefSeq and is a predicted model, not a curated record.
GAACAUAAGAGUAAUUUGGCCUUAUGACUGAGGCAGAAUUUCAACAUUAACUUUACUUUGUUACCUAUCCUCAUAUCCCGGUUUCCUUAGUGCCCAAAAGUCGACCGAACUCAACUUCAAAUAUACUAAAUGACUGAACAUCUACAGUACUCAGGAACAGACAAUUCAAAAGAGUCACAACACUCUGAGUGAAUAGAUUUCUCUUCAUCUUAGCAGAGACCGGUGACCUGGAGAAAUUAAUUCAGCUGGGGAGUUUAAAUUGAAAGAAGUGAAUAAAAUGUGAUCACUGGAUGAGGUUUCCUGAAAACUAUUGAUGUCCUCAAGAUACCAAUCUUACAGAGUUUUUCUGAAAAUAGCCUGAAGUGGUAACGAAGACAGCUGAUGGAUUUAAAACCAGAAGCACGAGGCAGACAAAGGUAUUUAUGGAAUCAGAAGACAGCAAUAUCAAAGGUGGACUACAAAAGAGUAGUUUUGAUGGAGUAGUUCACCAUGUUAAAGGUGAGAAUCGGAGGAAGAAAAGUUACAGUUACAAAGCAUGUUGUUUGUGAAUUUGAUCAGCAAGAAGGACUCAAAUGUACAAAGCUGAUUGCUGUCUCCAGAACAUCUAAUCUUUGGAAAUUCCCUCUACUGUACAUUGUGUCCACCUGGAUCUCUUCCAGCUUACAGAGCCGCACUGACUCCAUACCAAUUUACUACUAGAUAAUUACAGUCCUAGAAAAGUUGUAAAUUAAAAGAAAAUUCUGAGUCUUUCGUGGUGUACCUCUAUCUCUGGACCAGAAGGUCUGGCUUCAUGUCCCAUCUGUCCCGGGACAUGAGUCAUGUCUGAACAGGUAGGUUAGAACUAGUUUUCUAGGGCAGACAGUCAUGUCAUGACAAUAUCACUGGAUUAGAAAUCUGGGCCUGGGUUUAAGUCUCACUAGAAUAGCUGUUGGUAUUUAAGUUCAACAAAAGAAGGCUGUUGUGGUAUCAUGCUAGUAUUCCUUUUUUGGGCCUACAGUCCGAGUUCAAGCCACACCUAUCCUGAAGAUGUGUCAUAACAUGUCUAAAAAGGCCGUUUUAAAACAGAAUUGGCAAGAUGCUAAAAGACUGGGAAGAGAACUGUGGUUUCUCAAAAUUCCAGAAAUAAGAAGAAAGAUUACAAUUGGAGAUAUAAAACGAAAUGCAGAAAGAGAAAUGUAUGUAAUGUAGUUGACUUUUAUCACUUAUUACUGUUGAUUAAUUGUUCUAUUUCUAACUGUAUGUGAAAUCUUGAUGAAGCUGAAAACUAUAUUAUCCAGUAUUGUUUGUGAAUCUUCACAAUGUACUAUUGUAAGCAGAAACAAAUUUUCAUUCCUGGUGUUUGAGUACUGUAAUGGGAUGUUGUUGGGAUUAAUGGGAUUGCAUUUUUAUCAUGUUUCAAAGUCUUUAAAUGUAUUAUAUAUAUAGUUUGAUUUAUUCUAUUUAUUUUUCAUUACUUUUGCAAAAUAAACUUCACUUUUAUGGUUAAACCUGAAACUGCAGCAUUAUGUGUUCCCCUUUCAGUGAAAGACGACCUCAUCAAAACUAAAAUCAAAAUAUAACAUGAUCUAUUAAGCCAGAUUUCAGUCUGACAUCUGCCUUGUCCUGUUGUUAUGAAAAUUUGGGUGUACUAUACCUUUGUGAGAGUAAAAGCUAGCAGUGAA